CCCGACGCCCUGUCCUCUCUAUCUCCUUGUAGCUCUCCACAAGCUGCAACUCUCUCGCGAAGCUCGACGACCGUCUUUGCUCUCUCGCGAAGCUCGACGUUCUCUACUCUAUUGGAAGCUCAACGUUCUCUGCUCUCUUGCGAAGCUCGAAGUUCUCUUCUCUCGCAAAGCUCGGCGUCUCUCAGUCUCGUCAAUCUCACGAAGGAGAAAAUCAGUGAUUAGCGCGCUCUCGGUCUCUCUUGCUGUUCGCGCUGGUACUCUGUCUUCGCACUUGGGUUUGAUUGCUCUGUGCGGAAGCUCUGGGGUUGCAUUGUCACCUGGUUAGGGCUUGUAUCUAAGCCAGAAAUUUGUUAGUUCUUGAAUCAAAUCGUUGGCAGGGCUUCUGGGUUGAAGAUUCUUGGAUUGGAAGCUUUGAUAUAGAGUAACGGCAGAGGGAGUUUGUAAAGUACUAAGGAGUUCUACAAGGUUGGACUUACACUCCCCAACUGUUUGAUUAAAAGUCGCUGUGAAUUCAUGGACAUUGGUAGUGAAUAAUGAUUUGGCAUUUUAUUUGCAUU
This is a long non-coding RNA of Macadamia integrifolia, 557 nucleotides long. RefSeq lists it as uncharacterized. The transcript has 3 exons. Lineage: Eukaryota; Viridiplantae; Streptophyta; Magnoliopsida; Proteales; Proteaceae. The record is from RefSeq and is a predicted model, not a curated record.